RNAcentral lists this ribosomal RNA (234 nucleotides) under uncultured bacterium. RNAcentral's name for it is "partial 16S ribosomal RNA". It matches the Rfam family "Bacterial small subunit ribosomal RNA", at positions 118 to 347 of the family's 1533-position model. The record is from RNAcentral.
UGAGGAACAUGACCUUCGGCGGGGGAUAGCCGGCCCAACGGCCGGGUAAUACCGCGUACGACCACUUUGGGACAUCCCUAGGUGGUGAAAGCAGCAAUGCGCCGAUGGAGUGCCUCGCGGCCUAUCAGCUAGUUGGUGAGGUAACGGCUCACCAAGGCGACGACGGGUAGCUGGUCUGAGAGGAUGGCCAGCCACAUUGGGACUGAGACACGGUCCAGACUCCUACGGGAGCAG